Molecule: non-coding RNA, 28 nt
Filed under: Bombyx mori (domestic silkworm)
Lineage: Eukaryota; Metazoa; Arthropoda; Insecta; Lepidoptera; Bombycidae
Source: RNAcentral
UCUCCUUGAUGUCCGCGACAACCGUGAC